GCCCCGGGGGCGGGGCGGGGCCGGGCCGGGCCGCGGGGCGGCGGCCGCGGCGGGGCCCAGCGCGGGGCGGCGGCCGGAUUGUCCGCCGGGCAGGGGCCGGGCCAGGCCGCGGAGCGGGCACGGCAGCCUCCGCCGCAGGCACGAAGCCCCCGGCCGGGGCCCGAGGCAGGGCGGCGCGGCGCGGCGUGGCGUGGCGUGGCGUGGCGUGGCGUGGCGUGGCGUGGCGGCCGGGGCGCAGGAGCCUGUCCCGCCCUGCGCCCGUUCGCGGCCGCCGGCGUGGCUCCGGGACCCUCGGCGCGCCGCGGCUCGGAGCGGUCCCGGUCCCGGUCCCGGUCCCGGUCCCGGUCCCGGUCCCGGUCCCGGUCCCGGUCCCGGUCCCGCCCCCGCCCUCCUUCGGUUUUGUCUCCUCCCGGCUCUGCAGCUUUCGGUGCCGCCGAUGGGCCUAAGUUCGUGAGGAAGUUAAAUAAUUUACAGAUGUUUUCAAAAUCCCCGCGGAAGAAUAUUGAAUAUUUUUUACGCUUUUUUUUUUUUUUCUUUAAUAUAUCCUGAGGAGUAUGUUUUUGAUCAGUAGUUCGAUUUAGAAAAUGUAGUCUAAAACCUGAAGAUGUGUUGACCAAGCUUGAAAUUACAAACAGGGUGCCAGAGGCAAUAGGAGUCAUCUGCAGGUGGGGCUCUGGACUUUCACCUAUAAAUGAUGUUUAUGCCAAAAUGUUUGAGAAGAUACUAAAAAUUCCAUCGGUGGGAUUUUCAGGGAGGUGGUGGGAAAACACUGAGCAGCUGGAUCUGUUUCAAAUCUGGGCUUAGUUUUCUUUCUUUGGAAAUAAGGUAUGCCAAGGAGGAAAGAAAACAGCAAAGACAGAAAAUGUUAAGACACUGACCUGGCUUCAGUUUUGAUCUCACAUUGACAGCAUCUCUAGUUAAGCCAGGCUUAUUAAGCUGAAAGUGGUAAGGAAAAGGGGUGAGGAUAGGGAGAGGAGAGAGUAUUAUGUCGCUAAUGCAAGCAUCGAAUUUCAAGGUGGAUUGACAGUAGGUGCUGAUUGUGGGCUUCUCCUGAAUUUGUUUAUGGUGUGUUUUUGUGGUUUUGUUUUUUUUCCUCCUGGCAUGACCCAGUCAGCCUCUGUCAAGCUGAAAGGUCCCAGACUCUGACUGGAUGGCUUAGCUGACAGCAUGGUGAUAAACUUGCAUCUACCAAUCCACUGAUUUCCCCCAGUCUCAGAAUGAACCUUGUUUCCUUCUGGAAGGCUGCAUAUUUAAAAGACUGAUCUGCAAAGGACUUGAGUUUGUUGCUUCUAGUUCUUGAAGAACCAUACCUUCCUCGUUAGGCAAAUAAUAAUCAGAAGACUGGAUAUAUGUAAUUUUUUUAAAAACUGCAGUGUAGUACAGAACAACAACAAUAAUGCCUUAAGGAGCCAACUCAAGCAAAAAUAAGUAUGUUCAAAAAUCUUACUGAAAUCCCUUCUUUAAAAACAAACAAAAAAACCAGGAACAAACAAAACAAAAAACCAGCAGAUUUCAAGAUAUUUGGAAAGACAAGAUCAACAUUUUGAAGAUUCUCUGCACAGGACAAUGUAGGUAGUAUAUCCAUUGCUGUAUAGCCUGAUCACCCUCUGCAGCAAUAAUAAAAAAUGGUACAUUUGGGGUUUGUCUAUAUAACUUCCCUGCUUUUACCAGGGUUGGGGGGCAGUGCAUGUGUUUCAUUUUUCAGCAAAAACAUCUUAUUUGAUUGAGGAUUAGUUUAUAUGCAGCUGGUAAAAGCAUACAGCAAUCAGAGAUUAUUAUCACAGAUGACAGUCCUUAAUAUCUGUAGUCUGACAACAUGGAGGGUAUAAUAAGGGACAUGGCUCCACAUCAUCACUAAAUGCUCACAGCAGACAAAUUGCAGAUUUAUUGUUUGACAGUAAUCGUUGAAGAAUAAAGUAGAUUACUUUCUAUGGCUUAUUGUCUUCA
Long non-coding RNA from Tyto alba (common barn owl), 1947 nucleotides. RefSeq lists it as uncharacterized. NCBI's taxonomy places the organism in Eukaryota, Metazoa, Chordata, Aves, Strigiformes, Tytonidae. The transcript has 2 exons. The record is from RefSeq and is a predicted model, not a curated record.